CGUGUGCUCCACAAGGAGCACGUUUUGCACUAACACCACAAGAGUCUGGCUCAAUGAAUGGGGAUUGAUAGUAGUUUAAAUGU
Cercocebus atys (sooty mangabey) is the source of this 83-nucleotide small nucleolar RNA. NCBI's taxonomy places the organism in Eukaryota, Metazoa, Chordata, Mammalia, Primates, Cercopithecidae. The record is from Ensembl.